Patella vulgata (common limpet) is the source of this 581-nucleotide long non-coding RNA. RefSeq lists it as uncharacterized. The transcript is spliced from 3 exons. The record is from RefSeq and is a predicted model, not a curated record. Lineage: Eukaryota; Metazoa; Mollusca; Gastropoda; Patellidae.
UAACAGCAGAAGCUCUGUAUCAUGAACAUCCAAGUAACACCGUACCACCUAAUGAUCGGGUUAUUGUCUUUAAGGCUACACUGGGUUCGGAAACUUAUACCCUAGCAUCUAAUCCUAUAAAAGUAGCAGUCCCUGCAAAAACCCUGCAAAUCACUAAUGCUCCUCCAGCAACUAUCAAGGCAAACACACCAUUCAGUGUUACUGUGGAGAUUGUUGAUGCUAGUGGAAAUGUGGUAGCAAGCGGACUAGAUUCUACACUACACGUCACCAUGUCGGUUGGCUAUGAAUAUAAACAAUUUUAUCAUCUUAUUGGAAAAGAAAUGUUUCUUAAAACAACUCAAUUUCGACUAGCCGGUAGCGAGUCUAGUGUACAUGCAAGUUAUUAUGACACAAUCAUUCGAAAAAGAGCAGUCAGUGGAGUUGUAACAUUUUCAGACAUUCGUAUUUUGGAUGUGGGAUCAUUAAAAUUGAAUUUCACAAUGACAGUGCCAAGAGAUCCGUGGAUAAGACAACCAAAUGUAUACACAGAUUUAAAAUGUAAAACCAUUGAUAGUUCAAAAGUGACUUUUACUUAUAACUCA